AUAUCUUCUGGUUUGCCGAUUUGUCGUCAAGUACUGCAAUUGGAGAAGAAAUGGGUAAAAAAAUAUACAUUUUUAAAGAGGACAGUGUGUGUCUGUAUAGGGGACAGUGUGAAUCUAUAUAGGGGACAGUGUGUGUGUCUAUAUAGGGGACAGUGUGUGUGUCUAUAUAGGGGACAGUGUGUGUGUCUAUAUAGGGGACAGUGUGUGUUAAUAUAGGGGACAGUGUGUGUGUCUGUAUAGGGGACAGUGUGAAUCUAUAUAGGGGACAGUGUGUGUGUCUGUAUAGGGGACAGCGUGUGUGUCUGUAUAGGGGAGUGAUGGAGGUAGAUAUGUAUAGGGGGAAGGGGACAGGGAUACUGGAGUGAUGGAGGUAGAUAUGUAUAGGGGGAAGGGGACAGGGAUACUGGAGUGAUGGAGGUAGAUAUGUAUAGGGGGAAGGGGACAGGGAUACUGUAGUGAUGGAGGUAGAUAUGUAUAGGGGGAAGGGGACAGGGAUACUGGAGUGAUGGAGAUAGAUAUGUAUAGGGGGAAGGAGACAGGGAUACUGGAGUGAUGGAGGUAGAUAUGUAUAGGGGGGAAGGGGACAGGGAUACUGGAGUGAUGGAGAUAGAUAUGUAUAGGGGGAAGGAGACAGGGAUACUGGAGUGAUGGAGGUAGAUAUGUAUAGGGGGAAGGAGACAGGGAUACUGGAGUGAUGGAGGUAGAUAUGUAUAGGGGGAAGGAGACAGGGAUACUGGAGUGAUGGAGGUAGAUCUGUAUAGGGGGAAGGGGACAGGGAGGUAGAUAUGUAUAGGAGUAAGGGGAUAGGGAUACUGGAGUGAUGGAGGUAGAUAUGUAUAGGGGGAAGGGGAUACUGGAGUGAUGGAGGUAGAUAUGUAUAGGGGGAAGGGGAUACUGGAGUGAUGGAGGUAGAUAUGUAUAGGGGGAAGGGGAUGCUGG
Molecule: long non-coding RNA, 939 nt
Organism: Oncorhynchus tshawytscha (Chinook salmon)
Lineage: Eukaryota; Metazoa; Chordata; Actinopteri; Salmoniformes; Salmonidae
Source: Ensembl